CGGCGUGCUUAACACAUGCAAGUCGAACGGAAAGGCCCUUCGGGGUACUCGAGUGGCGAACGGGUGAGUAACACGUGGGUGAUCUGCCCUGCACUCUGGGAUAAGCCUGGGAAACUGGGUCUAAUACCGGAUAGGACCACACACUUCAUGGUGAGUGGUGCAAAGCUUUUGCGGUGUGGGAUGAGCCCGCGGCCUAUCAGCUUGUUGGUGGGGUAAUGGCCCACCAAGGCGACGACGGGUAGCCGGCCUGAGAGGGUGACCGGCCACACUGGGACUGAGAUACGGCCCAGACUCCUACGGGAGGCAGCAGUGGGGAAUAUUGCACAAUGGGCGCAAGCCUGAUGCAGCGACGCCGCGUGAGGGAUGACGGCCUUCGGGUUGUAAACCUCUUUCAGUAGGGACGAAGCGAAAGUGACGGUACCUACAGAAGAAGGACCGGCCAACUACGUGCCAGCAGCCGCGGUAAUACGUAGGGUCCGAGCGUUGUCCGGAAUUACUGGGCGUAAAGAGCUCGUAGGUGGUUUGUCGCCUUGUUCGUGAAAACUCACAGCUUAACUGUGGGCGUGCGGGCGAUACGGGCAGACUAGAGUACUGCAGGGGAGACUGGAAUUCCUGGUGUAGCGGUGGAAUGCGCAGAUAUCAGGAGGAACACCGGUGGCGAAGGCGGGUCUCUGGGCAGUAACUGACGCUGAGGAGCGAAAGCGUGGGUAGCGAACAGGAUUAGAUACCCUGGUAGUCCACGCCGUAAACGGUGGGUACUAGGUGUGGGUUUCCUUCCUUGGGAUCCGUGCCGUAGCUAACGCAUUAAGUACCCCGCCUGGGGAGUACGGUCGCAAGACUAAAACUCAAAGGAAUUGACGGGGGCCCGCACAAGCGGCGGAGCAUGUGGAUUAAUUCGAUGCAACGCGAAGAACCUUACCUGGGUUUGACAUGCACAGGACGUACCUAGAGAUAGGUAUUCCCUUGUGGCCUGUGUGCAGGUGGUGCAUGGCUGUCGUCAGCUCGUGUCGUGAGAUGUUGGGUUAAGUCCCGCAACGAGCGCAACCCUUGUCCUAUGUUGCCAGCGGGUAAUGCCGGGGACUCGUAGGAGACUGCCGGGGUCAACUCGGAGGAAGGUGGGGAUGACGUCAAGUCAUCAUGCCCCUUAUGUCCAGGGCUUCACACAUGCUACAAUGGCCAGUACAGAGGGCUGCGAAGCCGCAAGGUGGAGCGAAUCCCUUAAAGCUGGUCUCAGUUCGGAUUGGGGUCUGCAACUCGACCCCAUGAAGUCGGAGUCGCUAGUAAUCGCAGAUCAGCAACGCUGCGGUGAAUACGUUCCCGGGCCUUGUACACACCGCCCGUCACGUCAUGAAAGUCGGUAACACCCGAAGCCAGUGGCCUAACCUUUUGGAGGGAGCUGUCGAAGGUGGGAUCGGCGAUUGGGACG
RNAcentral lists this ribosomal RNA (1426 nucleotides) under uncultured bacterium. Its description in RNAcentral is "bacterial SSU rRNA". It matches the Rfam family "Bacterial small subunit ribosomal RNA". The record is from RNAcentral.